UUGACGGGGCCGCACAAGCGGAGGAACAUGUGGUUAAUUCGAUGAUACGCGAGGAACCUUACCUGGGCUUAAAUGUAGAGUGCAUUUUUAGAGAUAGAAAUUCCCUUCGGGGCUUUCUGCAAGGUGCUGCAUGGUUGUCGUCAGCUCGUGCCGUGAGGUGUCGGGUUAAGUCCCAUAACGAGCGCAACCCUUAUCGUUAGUUGCCAUCUGGUAAUGCAGGGGACUCUAGCGAAACUGCCACCGUAAGGUGAGAGGAAGGUGGGGAUGACGUCAAAUCAGCACGGUCCUUAUGUCCAGGGCUACACACGUGUUACAAUGGCCGGCACAGAGGGCAGCUACCUGGUGACAGGAUGCUAAUCUCGAAAACCGGUCUCAGUUCGGAUCGAAGUCUGCAACUCGACUUCGUGAAGCUGGAUUCGCUAGUAAUCGCGCAUCAGCCAUGGCGCGGUGAAUACGUUCCCGGGCCUU
Molecule: ribosomal RNA, 468 nt
Filed under: uncultured Sphingobacteriales bacterium
Lineage: Bacteria; Pseudomonadati; Bacteroidota; Sphingobacteriia; Sphingobacteriales
Description: bacterial SSU rRNA
Rfam family: Bacterial small subunit ribosomal RNA
Source: RNAcentral